CCCUUCAACAGCAUUCAUCCCUUCCAAAUCAAAUAUUCCUUCUAGUGAGCUGCAUUUUUCUACAAUCAGCACCUCCAAACGGUUCAAGAACUGGAGUUGAUUUGAUGAUAAGGCUUUCGAGAAAUACUCACAAUUGUCCACCACCAAUUCACUUAACCCGUCUAGGAGCUUCAAAGGAAGUUGGGUGUGCCAUUUUUCCUUUAUCUGGGGAAAUUUAGAGAGUUUAACUUUCU
This 233-nucleotide unclassified non-coding RNA is filed under the name Hevea brasiliensis (rubber tree). The record is from RNAcentral. Lineage: Eukaryota; Viridiplantae; Streptophyta; Magnoliopsida; Malpighiales; Euphorbiaceae.